CCCCCAAAGCCACGGGGGGAACAGCCCAGAAAUGGGGGAACUGGGAUGGGGGAACUGGGAUGGGGGAACUGGGAUGGGGGAACUGGGAUGGGGAACAAGAUCCAGAAACUUGGGGGGCCCCCAAAACCGAGGGGAUCCCAAAAACCCCACCCCAAACCCCAAAAUCUGCUCCUGAACCUUCCAAAGUGCGCCUGACACCCCUGGAGCUGCUGCACCAGUGCUCCCAGUCCCAGUGCCCCCAGUCCCAGUCCCAGUGCCCCCAGUCCUUCCCAGUGCUCCCAGUCCCAGUGUCCCAGUCCCAGUCCCAGUGCCCCCAGUGCCUCCCAGUGCUCCCAAUCCCAGUGUCCCAGUCCCAGUCCCAGCCCAGUCCCAGUCCGUCCCAGUGCCCCCAGUGCCUCCAGUCCCUCCCAGUGCCCCCAGUCCCAGUCCCAGUGCCCCCAGUCCUGGUGCUGGUUUCCUGGUGCCCUAGUCCCAGUGCCAGUGCUCCAGUCCCAGUUCCCCGUUUUCCCAGUCCCAGUUCCCCGGUCCCAGUUCCCCGUUUCCCCGGUGUCCCAGUGCUGGUUCCGGUUCGGUGCCAGUUCCCCGGUUCCCCGGUCCCAGUUCCCCGUUUCCCCGGUGCCGGUUCGGUUUGGUGCCGGUUCAGUGCCGGUUCCCCAGUUCCCCAGUCCCAGUUCCCCGUUUCCCCGGUGCUGGUUCCCCAGUCCCAGUUCCCUGGUUUCCCAUUUCCCCAGUGCCGGUUCGGUGCUGGUUUCCCAGUUCCCCAGUGUCCCAGUUCCCCGUUUCCCCAGUCCCAUUUCCCCGGUGUCCUGGUGCUGGUUCUGGUUCGGUGCCGGUUCCCUAUUUCCCCAGUUCCCCAGUCCCAGUUCCCCAGUCCCAGUUCCCGUUUCCCUGGUGCCGGUUCAGUGCCGGUUCCCCAGUGUCCCAGUCCCAGUGUCCCAGUCCGUUCCCCGUUUCCCCAGUUCUGGUUUGAUUUGGUGCCAGUUCCCAGUUCCCCAGUCCCAGUUCCCCAUUUCCCAGGUCCAGUUCUGGUUCGUUUCUGGUUCGGUUCCAGUUUCCCAUUUCCCCAGUUCCGGUUCGGUUCCGGUUCCCCGUUUCCCUAGUUCCCGUUUCCCCAGUCCCGUUUCCCUGGUCCGGUUCGGUUCUGGUUCCCCAUUUCCCCGUUUCCCCGGUUCGGUUCUGGUUCGGUUCCGGUUCCCCAUUUCCCCAUUUCCCCGUUGUCCCGGUUCCAUUUCCCCAUUUCCCCGUUGUCCCGGUUCCGGUUCGGUUCCGGUU
RNAcentral lists this long non-coding RNA (1272 nucleotides) under Parus major (Great Tit). RNAcentral's name for it is "lncRNA (ENSPMJG00000002213.1)". Lineage: Eukaryota; Metazoa; Chordata; Aves; Passeriformes; Paridae. The record is from RNAcentral.